UACGGGGGGGGCAAGCGUUGUUCGGAAUUACUGGGCGUAAAGGGCUCGUAGGCGGCCAACUAAGUCAUACGUGAAAUCCCUCGGCUUAACCGGGGAACUGCGUCUGAUACUGGAUGGCUUGAGUUCGGGAGAGGGAUGCGGAAUUCCAGGUGUAGCGGUGAAAUGCGUAGAUAUCUGGAGGAACACCGGUGGCGAAGGCGGCAUCCUGGACCGAUACUAACGCUGAGGAACGAAAGCCAGGGGAGCAAACGGG
This 253-nucleotide ribosomal RNA is filed under the name uncultured bacterium. Its description in RNAcentral is "partial 16S ribosomal RNA". It matches the Rfam family "Bacterial small subunit ribosomal RNA", at positions 524 to 776 of the family's 1533-position model. The record is from RNAcentral.